RNAcentral lists this ribosomal RNA (390 nucleotides) under uncultured bacterium. RNAcentral's name for it is "bacterial SSU rRNA". It matches the Rfam family "Bacterial small subunit ribosomal RNA", at positions 30 to 414 of the family's 1533-position model. The record is from RNAcentral.
AGUGAACGCUGGCGGCAGGCCUAAUACAUGCAAGUCGAACGGCAGCACAGCAGAGCUUGCUCUGUGGGUGGCGAGUGGGCGGACGGGUGAGGAAUACGUGGGAAUCUGCCCAGUCGUGGGGAUAACGUAGGGAAACUUACGCUAAUACCGCAUGCGCCCUUCGGGGGAAAGCCGGGGGACCUUCGGGCCUGGCGCGAUUGGAUGAGCCCACGUCGGAUUAGCUAGUUGGCGGGUAAAGGCCCACCAAGGCGACGAUCCGUAGCUGGUCUGAGAGGAUGAUCAGCCACACUGGAACUGAGACACGGUCCAGACUCCUACGGGAGCAGCAGUAGGGAAUAUUGGACAAUGGGCGCAAGCCUGAUCCAGCCAUGCCGCGUAGAGUGAAGAAGG